Long non-coding RNA from Astatotilapia calliptera (eastern happy), 1186 nucleotides. NCBI's taxonomy places the organism in Eukaryota, Metazoa, Chordata, Actinopteri, Cichliformes, Cichlidae. The record is from Ensembl.
AAUUCUGUUGUUUUCUUUCAAAUUCCGGUGUUUUCAUUCAACUUCCAUUCUUGUCAUUCUAAUUCUGUUUUUUUCUUUCAAAUUCUGUUGUUUUCAUUCUAAUUCUGUUGUUUUCAUUCAAAUUAUGUUGUUUUCUUUCAACUUCCGGUGUUUUCAUUCAACUUCCAUUCUUGUCAUUCUAAUUCUGUUUUUUCAUUCAAAUUCUUUUGUUUUCAUUCUAAUUCUGUUCUUGUCAUUCUAAUUCUGUUGUUUUCAUUCAAAUUAUGUUGUUUUCAUUCUAAUUCUGUUGUUUUCAUUCAAAUUCUGUUGUUUUCAUUCUAAUUCUGUUGUUUUCAUUCAAAUUCCAUUCUUGUCAUUCUAAUUCUGUUGUUUUCGUUCAAAUUUUGUUGUUUUCAUUCUAAUUCUGUUGUUUUCAUUCAAAUUAUGUUGUUUUCUUUCAACUUCCGGUGUUUUCAUUCAAAUUCCGUUCUUGUCAUUCUAAUUCAUUUGUUUUCGUUCAAAUUAUGUUGUUUUCAUUCUAAUUCUGUUGUUUUCAUUCAAAUUAUGUUGUUUUCUUUCAACUUCCGGUGUUUUCAUUCAAAUUCCAUUCUUGUCAUUCUAAUUCUGUUUUUUCAUUCAAAUUCUUUUGUUUUCAUUCUAAUUCUGUUGUCUUCAUUCAAAUUAUGUUGUUUUCAUUCUAAUUCUGUUGUUUUCAUUCAAAUUAUGUUGUUUUCCUUCAAAUUUUGUUGUUUUCUUUCAACUUCCGGUGUUUUCAUUCAACUUCCAUUCUUGUCAUUCUAAUUCUGUUUUUUUCUUUCAAAUUCUGUUGUUUUCCUUCUAAUUCUGUUGUUUUCAUUCUAAUUCUGUUGUUUUCAUUCAAAUUCCUGUGUUUUCAUUCAAAUUCCGUUCUUGUCAUUCUAAUUCGUUUGGGUUUUUGUUCGAAAUCUGUUGUUUUCCUUAUAAUCCAGUACUUUUCAUUAAAAAAUUUUUGUUUUCAUUCAAAUUUUUUUGUUUUCAUACUAAUUCUAUUGUUUUCAUUGUAAUUCCGUUCUUGUCAUUCUAAUUUUGUUGUUUUCGUCCGAAAUCUGUUGUUUACCUUCUAAUCCUGUUGUUUUCAUUCAAAUUUUGUUGUUUUCAUUCAAAUUCCGUUCUUGUCAUUCGAAUGUUGAUGUUUUCAUUCUAAUUCAGUUGUUUUCAUUCAAAUUCC